RNAcentral lists this ribosomal RNA (254 nucleotides) under uncultured bacterium. RNAcentral's name for it is "partial 16S ribosomal RNA". It matches the Rfam family "Bacterial small subunit ribosomal RNA", at positions 524 to 776 of the family's 1533-position model. The record is from RNAcentral.
UACGUAGGGGGCAAGCGUUGUCCGGAUUUAUUGGGCGUAAAGAGCUCGUAGGUGGUUCGGUAAGUCGGAUGUGAAAUCUCCAGGCUCAACCUGGAGGGGUCAUUCGAUACUGCCGUACUAGAGGUCGGUAGGGGGAGUGUGGAAUUCCUGGUGGAGCGGUGAAAUGCGUAGAUAUCGGGAGGAACACCUAUGGCGAAAAGCAGGUACCUGGGCCAUACUACGUGAGCUGCGAAAAGCUAGGGGGAGCAAACAGG